CCUUCGGGCGCUGACGAGUGGCGGACGGGUGAGUAACGCGUAGGAAUCUGCCUCAUAGUGGGGGACAACUUGGGGAAACUCAAGCUAAUACCGCAUACGCCCUACGGGGGAAAGCGGGGGACCUUCGGGCCUCGCGCUAUGAGAUGAGCCUGCGUUAGAUUANNUUUUUNGUGGGGUAAAGGCCUACCAAGGCGACGAUCUAUAGCUGGUCUGAGAGGACGAUCAGCCACACUGGGACUGAGACACGGCCCAGACUCCUACGGGAGGCAGCAGUGGGGAAUAUUGGACAAUGGGCGCAAGCCUGAUCCAGCAAUACCGCGUGUGUGAAGAAGGCCUGAGGGUUGUAAAGCACUUUCAAUUGGGAGGAAAACCUGUCGGUUAAUACCCGGCCAGCUUGGACAUUUACCCUUUAGAAAGAAAGCCACCCGGCUAACUCCGUGCCAGCAGCCGCGGUAAUACGGAGGGUGCGAGCGUUAAUCGGAAUUACUGGGCGUAAAGCGUGCGUAGGCGGUUGUCUAAGUCAGAUGUGAAAGCCCCGGGCUUAACCUGGGAACUGCAUUUGAUACUGGAUGACUAGAGUUUAAUAGAGGAGAGUGGAAUUUCAGGUGUAGCGGUGAAAUGCGUAGAGAUCUGAAGGAACACCAGUGGCGAAGGCGACUCUCUGGAUUAAAACUGACGCUGAGGUACGAAAGCGUGGGUAGCAAACAGGAUUAGAUACCCUGGUAGUCCACGCCGUAAACGAUGUCAACUAGCCGUUGGGCCUUUUAACAGGCUUAGUGGCGCAGCUAACGCAUUAAGUUGACCGCCUGGGGAGUACGGCCGCAAGGUUAAAACUCAAAUGAAUUGACGGGGGCCCGCACAAGCGGUGGAGCAUGUGGUUUAAUUCGAUGCAACGCGAAGAACCUUACCUACCCUUGACAUCCAGAGAAUC
Molecule: ribosomal RNA, 931 nt
Filed under: uncultured methanotrophic bacterium
Lineage: Bacteria
Description: bacterial SSU rRNA
Rfam family: Bacterial small subunit ribosomal RNA
Source: RNAcentral